AGAGUUUGAUCAUGGCUCAGGAUGAACGCUGGCGGCGUGCCUAACACAUGCAAGUCGAGCGAUCUUCUUCGGAAGAGAGCGGCGGACGGGUGAGUAACGCGUGGGUAACCUGCCUCAUACACAUGGAUAACAUACCGAAAGGUAUGCUAAUACAAGAUGAUAUAAGAGAUUCGCAUGAAUUUCUUAUCAAAGCUCCGGCGGUAUGAGAUGGACCCGCGUCUGAUUAGCUAGUUGGUAAGGUAACGGCUUACCAAGGCGACGAUCAGUAGCCGACCUGAGAGGGUGAUCGGCCACAUUGGAACUGAGACACGGUCCAAACUCCUACGGGAGGCAGCAGUGGGGAAUAUUGCACAAUGGGCGAAAGCCUGAUGCAGCAACGCCGCGUGAGCGAUGAAGGCCUUCGGGUCGUAAAGCUCUGUCCUCAAGGAAGAUAAUGACGGUACUUGAGGAGGAAGCCCCGGCUAACUACGUGCCAGCAGCCGCGGUAAUACGUAGGGGGCUAGCGUUAUCCGGAUUUACUGGGCGUAAAGGGUGCGUAGGUGGUUUCUUAAGUCAGGAGUGAAAGGCUACGGCUCAACCGUAGUAAGCUCUUGAAACUGGGAAACUUGAGUGCAGGAGAGGAAAGUGGAAUUCCUAGUGUAGCGGUGAAAUGCGUAGAUAUUAGGAGGAACACCAGUAGCGAAGGCGGCUUUCUGGACUGUAACUGACACUGAGGCACGAAAGCGUGGGGAGCAAACAGGAUUAGAUACCCUGGUAGUCCACGCCGUAAACGAUGAGUACUAGGUGUCGGGGGUUACCCCCCUCGGUGCCGCAGCUAACGCAUUAAGUACUCCGCCUGGGGAGUACGCUCGCAAGAGUGAAACUCAAAGGAAUUGACGG
This 879-nucleotide ribosomal RNA is filed under the name uncultured bacterium. RNAcentral's name for it is "bacterial SSU rRNA". It matches the Rfam family "Bacterial small subunit ribosomal RNA", at positions 8 to 916 of the family's 1533-position model. The record is from RNAcentral.